GACGUAGGGCGCGAGCGUUGUCCGGAUUUAUUGGGCGUAAAGCGCUCGUAGGCGGCUCGUUGCGUCGGCUGUGAAAACCCGCAGCUCAACUGUGGGCUUGCAGCCGAUACGGGCGGGCUGGGAUUCGGUAGGGGAGACUGGAAUUCCUGGUGUAGCGGUGAAAUGCGCAGAUAUCAGGAAGAACACCCGUGGCUAAGGCGGCUCGCUAGUACGGUACUGACGCUGAGACGCGAAAGCGUGGGGAGCGAACAGG
RNAcentral lists this ribosomal RNA (253 nucleotides) under uncultured bacterium. RNAcentral describes it as "partial 16S ribosomal RNA". It matches the Rfam family "Bacterial small subunit ribosomal RNA", at positions 524 to 776 of the family's 1533-position model. The record is from RNAcentral.